This 574-nucleotide long non-coding RNA is filed under the name Pan troglodytes (chimpanzee). RNAcentral describes it as "lincRNA". The record is from RNAcentral. Lineage: Eukaryota; Metazoa; Chordata; Mammalia; Primates; Hominidae.
UUUGCCUCCCACCAUGAUUCUGAGGCCUCCUCAGCCAUGUGGAACUGAUGACACAUCUAGAAGACCCUCACCUUAUGCUUAUGCUGGCCCCUUGAUCUUGGCCUCCAGAAAUGUAUAAUGAAGAAUCUUGAGGUCAUCCUGGAUUACCAAAGUGGGCCCUAAAUCCAGUGGCAGAAGACACAGACACAGAGAGGAGACCAGGUGAAGACAAAAGAAGAGGCUGGAGUGAUGCGACCAUCAGAGAGUGAAAAUACUCAGUUACCUCUUGGUUUAUGAGGCAAUGAAGCAUUCCAGCACAUAAAUAUUGACGCUGAGACCCAUGGGAUGUAGGAGUGCUGAGCACAUUUGCAAGACAUAAAGACAGAAGGGAAGUUUACCAACCCUGGAGAACAUCAGCUCUCCCUUUCUUCCCUCUUUGCAGUUGAAGCUUGAAAGAAGCUAAACAAAUGGACAUGGAUGUGUUUCAAUAAAACUUUAUUUACAAAAACCAGCUGCGGGCUAGAUUUGGCUUAGAGGCUUCAGUUUGCUGACUCUUCUAGAGCAGAUGUGUGUGGUAUCUAGAUGAGAUGCAUGG